Molecule: long non-coding RNA, 1308 nt
Organism: Bombus huntii
Lineage: Eukaryota; Metazoa; Arthropoda; Insecta; Hymenoptera; Apidae
Exons: 6
Source: RefSeq, a predicted model, not a curated record
AAUGCUACUUGGGUUAUAAUUAUAUACAUAUAUGCAUACGUAUUGGUGGAUAGCAAAAGUAUUUGGUUUCGUGGGUGGCGUACAGGUGCCUUACAGUUCUACGGUGCGGAUUGCUAUUCCUUGGACUAAAAAAAUUUCUUUCGAGAUGAGUCAGAUUAUUGUAACGAUCAUGCAUGGGAGGAUUUUCUGCAGAGAUUCAAAAUGCUCUCUGGAUUCCUCGUGAAACGUCUGGACAACACCUACAUGUACUUCCUCCGUCGUUCAGAGAAUGGUUGAUGAAUUCGCCAUCCGUUCUGCACACACAUACAAAAAUAGUUAAUGUAUAUAUAUAUUAUUUAUUUUUAUUUUUUUUUUUUUUAUAAGUUUCGUUCGGACCUGUUCCUUUGUACGAAGACUGUAUCCCUGUAUAUAAUAUAAUAUAUAUAAUAUGUUAUGAUUAUGUUAGUUGUUAUUUAUUAUAUAUAUAUUUUCCUUAUCUCUCUCUUUUUUUGUUUGUUUUUUUUUUAUUAGUACCUAACAUUGCUAUUAUGAUGCUGUAUUACAUUGCAUUGGCUAUUAUUUGUAUGUGCGACGAAUUUUUCAACAUGGCCGCUCGCGUGUCUCUUUGGUAUGGCGUUGGUUUAAUGUCAACAGUAACGUGUUGUUGAAAUAGCUAAUUAAUUGUUAAUCAUUAUAAUUUUAUUUAGUAGUGUUUUUGUAAUAUUGUUUUGUAUUUCAUGAUAUUGUCUGUGUCAAUACCGUGUGCUACUUUAAUGUGAUAGCAUGGAUUGUAUUGUUACCGAAUUUCAAUAGUCAUUGUUUUGAUUAUACGUGACUUGCAUUUAUAUUCUGCUCUUUCGAUGCUGCGUCACUUACCUGGAUCGUUCCCACAACAUCAUCCGAUUCUUUGAUAUGCCUUGGAUACUUACUACGGCUGCCUUCAAUCGUCUUAUAUCUGUGGUCAUAAAGCUGGCUGUUGUACAUGGUGUUCCGUAAACAGGGAGCCAUAACCUAUUUUGCACGUAAACCUUCUCGUAUGAUGAUUACUUGUUCACAAGGUGUUCGCUAUCUGUAUUAUUCGACGAACAGUGUCACACCUCCUUUUGAUUUAUCCACAAUAUAGUUAUAACAUUUAGUAACCUUGUAUUUUGCACUGAGACGAUUGAAACUAAUUUAUUCACUUAUUUUAGGUAGCUGUCGUACAUUAUGUACCACGAACAACGAUCCAUAACCUAUACUUACACGUACACUUUCUUGUAUGUUGAUCACUUGUUCACAAGACAUGCAAGAAAUUCCGUGUUGGAGAGCGAUGUUGCGAGUUCGAGUGCC